GUGAUAGAGGCGCGGGCUUCAUCAAUAGCCGGAACAACGUAGGGAAAUACGCCGGCAAAAGGGGAUCCCGCCGAAGUGUACACGCCUCCCGAACGUGUAUGCUGGGACAGCGUGAAAGACGCGCUGUACUGUCGUCAUGGGGAUCACCCCGACGGAGUGCUAUUCGA
This 167-nucleotide non-coding RNA is filed under the name uncultured Ruminococcus sp. RNAcentral describes it as "Lysine riboswitch". It matches the Rfam family "Lysine riboswitch aptamer". From Rfam's summary of the family: Riboswitches are metabolite binding domains within certain messenger RNAs that serve as precision sensors for their corresponding targets. Allosteric rearrangement of mRNA structure is mediated by ligand binding, and this results in modulation of gene expression. This family includes riboswitches that sense lysine in a number of genes involved in lysine metabolism, including lysC. Lineage: Bacteria; Bacillati; Bacillota; Clostridia; Eubacteriales; Oscillospiraceae. The record is from RNAcentral.